AAUAAUAAUAAUGAUGAUGAUAAUAAUAAUAAUAAUAAUAAUAAUAAUAAUAACUAAUCCCCCCCGCAGGUGCCACCUUGACGUGGUGGGGGGGCUUAGCUGCUCCAAUGAUGACUGAGGGCUGUGCUGGCGGUAGUGUAACUACCGGCAGGUCCAACCAAGCCAGAGAGGCCUCAGCUGAGGAGCACAACCAAGAGCACCUAACCCAUUAGCAUUAUGGAGAAUCAAACCCAAACGAAGUCUAUACUGGCUCGGUCGUCGCCCAGGAUAAAAAGGACCGCGGUGGAUGCUGCUGAUUCUGGACAUCCAUCGACAAGUGGGCUACGGAAUCAUCAAAACCCAAAUGGACAGUCACAGAAGCGGCAAAAAUAUACAAUGCCAGAAAACCGCACAAUUAUGAAAUGCUACUACAAAUCUGAACCUCAAAGGCGUGGCUACCAAAAAAGGAUGCAUCAACUGUGGAAACAAGAGUAUCCUGACUCACAGAUAACAGAACCCCGACUGGCUGACCAACGAAGAUUCAUAAUCAGAAACAAAGUGUUCAGUGAAGUUGAACUCGAAGAAAUCCAGAAAAUUUGCAAAGUAGAUUACCAUCAGACCACAGCACAGACAGCAGCAGAGACUCCAGCAACACUUGGAAUGGUGGAACAGAUUGAACCAGAAGAAAGUGUGGAGUUUUUGCAAGAAUUUGAGGAACCAGCACUUGAAACAUCUGUUGAACCACCAGGAACCUUGACAGCAAGACAACAAGAGCUCAAGGAUAAGAUCAUGGCUCAUGCUGCAGCAAAUGCAAUAAGACAGCGGCUCCCAACUCUAAAAACAGUGCCCAAGAGACACCUGGCGCCUCUCAUGAAAGAUGUGAAUGCAGCACUCUCCACUGUCCAAAUAACAUCAAUUGAACAAACAAACCAGUUUGCCUACAGUGCAGCAGUGAUAGUAACAGAAGAACUUGGGCUCCUACAACCAAGGCAGCCCCAAAGAAAAUCGACUGGAAAACCAAAGUGGAAGGUCAGGCUAGAGUUGAAAAUCAAGAAACUUAGAUCAGAUGCAAGUAACCUGAAAAAUAUGAAAGAGAGGAAACUGAAGAAUGACAAAAUCAAGCAAUACCUGAUCCGAAAGUACUGGCUGAACACCAGAAAAAUUGAAGAAGCUUUGGAAAUCGUGAAAGAACAAAUUACAGCAACAGCCAGAAAAAUUGAAAGGUAUGAAGCCAGAAUCAUCCAGUACAGACAAAAUCAACUGUUUCAAUCAGACCAAAGACGGUUCUACCAGAGUCUGAACCAAACAACAGACACAGUAACCAUAAAGCCAGAGAAAACUGCAACAACAAAGUUCUGGAUUAUCCAACGCAUUUUUGUAGUCAAUGCUUUCAAUACAUCAUGA
RNAcentral lists this long non-coding RNA (1383 nucleotides) under Anolis carolinensis (green anole). RNAcentral describes it as "lncRNA (ENSACAG00000035992.1)". The record is from RNAcentral. Lineage: Eukaryota; Metazoa; Chordata; Lepidosauria; Squamata; Anolidae.